GUUUUAAGAUGAGUUUCACUCUUGUUGCCUAGGCUGGAGUGCAAUGGCGUGAUCUCGGCUCACUGCAACCUCCGCCUCCUGGGUUCAAGUGAUGCUCGUGACUCAGCCUCCCAAGUAGCUGGGAUUACAGUUGCCCACCACAAUGCCCAGGUAUUGUGUUUUUUACAAGUUGAAGAUCUGUAGCAACCCUGCAGUGAGGAAGUCUAUUGGUGCCAUUUGCCCAACAGCAUGAGCUCACUUCAUGUCUCUGUGUCACAUUUUGGUAAUUCUCAUAAUAUUUUAAAGUUUUUUAUUAUUAUUAUUUCUGUUAUGGUGAUCUGUGAUCGAUGAUCUUUGAUGUUAUUAUCGUAACUGUUUUGGGGACACCAUGAACCAUGUCCAUAUAAGAUGGUGAACUUAAUUGAUAGAUGUGUGUGUUCCGAUGGCUCUACCAACCAAUCAUUCCCCCAUAUCUUUACUUUCCUUGGGCCUCUCUAUCCCUUGAGACACAACAAUAUUGAAGUUAGGCCAAUUAGUAACCCUCGAAUGGCCUCUCAGUGCUUAAGUGAAAGGAAGAGUUUCAUGUCUCUCAUUUUAAAUAAAAAGCUAGAUAUAAUUCAGCCUAAAGAGAGAGGCAUGUCAAAAGCCAAGAUAGCCCAAAAGCUAGGCCUCUUGUGAUAAGCAGUUAGCCAAGCUGUGAAUGCAAAAAAAAAAAGAAUUCUUGAAGGAAAUGAAAGGUGCUACUCCAGUGAACACAAGAAUGAUAAGAAAGCAAAACAGCCUUGUUGCUGAUGUAGAGAAAGUUUGAGUAGCCUGGAGAGAUCAAACAUUCCCUUAGGCCAAGCCUAACCAAGA
Molecule: long non-coding RNA, 834 nt
Filed under: Homo sapiens (human)
Lineage: Eukaryota; Metazoa; Chordata; Mammalia; Primates; Hominidae
Description: HSALNT0077161
Source: RNAcentral